UUUAGCUCCAGUCUCGUGUCGUGGAAGUUGGCUUUCGCUUGCCCCUUCUGGGCGGGGGGAGGCUUCUUUCUAAUUUCUUAGUCUUGUGGGUCGAACCCGUCUCCAUAGGGUAUGUAUAUAGUUUUGUUAUAGUUUUUGGGUCCAGAUUUGAGCUUCAAAAGAGAGGGUUUUGAGGGACCUGGGUUGGUUGCUUUGGUUGUUUAUUG
This 206-nucleotide unclassified non-coding RNA is filed under the name Hevea brasiliensis (rubber tree). Lineage: Eukaryota; Viridiplantae; Streptophyta; Magnoliopsida; Malpighiales; Euphorbiaceae. The record is from RNAcentral.